UGCUCACAUUCAGUGGCAUCUGGCACGUUGGAGAGGCGUUCUGUUCACUGAUGAGUUCUGGUUUUCACUGUUCAGAGCAGAUGGCCGACAGCGUGUGUGGUGUCAUGUGGAGAUACCGUGACAAGAUCCUGAGGCCCGUUGUUGUGCCAUUCACCCGCAAUCAGCUUUGAAUGUCGCGGAGGCAGCAGUCUGACCAGAGAAACCCAGACUUCCCUCACCCCACCACCUCCUCAAGCUCAUUUGCAGGGAAACGGAGACAUUCCCAAGCCACCCAAGAGAUGUUAAUCUUGUCAGCAAGCUCUGGGGCUUCCUCCUGGCAGGGGAUGCCAGGAAUACCUCACAUUGGCGCUUCCAGGAGUUCUAGUAGUCAGAUGCCUGAACCACCUCAACUGGCUCCUUCAGUUGUGGAGGAACAGCACCUGUACUCUGAGCCCCUGUUCUCACUGUAUCUCAAAGAGAGAGACUCAUAGCCUUGGCCAAAGACUCAUAGCCUUGGCUAGCCUAGCCUACAUUGAAGAGGUACACCAGAGAGAUAGAAGGCAGGAGAAUAAACCAGUUGUUCUCCACAGCACCAGCCAAGGUGUACUCUCAG
Long non-coding RNA from Oreochromis aureus, 592 nucleotides. NCBI's taxonomy places the organism in Eukaryota, Metazoa, Chordata, Actinopteri, Cichliformes, Cichlidae. The record is from Ensembl.